GUGCUGGGAUGUGCGAUCUGAUGGUUGAGAUGGAUUGCGGCAUGGAUUAAAUAGCAGCUGAGCUUCUGGAGUUUGAUCAAAAGUGAGAUUCUGAUGUUGCUUAGGAUUUGGGGCCUAUAAGAAGGCCUAACGACCUAAGGAGAAAAGGAGAGAAGUCGAGAGGGAGGCCUUGGCAGCCAUCAAGAGGAGUUUGGCAAGUGCCGAGAGCGAACAGAGCAGAUGUAGGUAGAGCAUCAGGUAGA
This 242-nucleotide long non-coding RNA is filed under the name Elaeis guineensis (African oil palm). RNAcentral describes it as "long non-coding RNA (EGUI_LNC044638)". The record is from RNAcentral. Lineage: Eukaryota; Viridiplantae; Streptophyta; Magnoliopsida; Arecales; Arecaceae.